GACGAACGCUGGCGGCGUGCUUAACACAUGCAAGUCGAGCGGAAAGGCCACUUCGGUGGUACUCGAGCGGCGAACGGGUGAGUAACACGUGAGUAAUCUGCCCCUGGCUUUGGGAUAGCCACCGGAAACGGUGAUUAAUACCGGAUAUGACCACUUCACGCAUGUGAUGGUGGUGGAAAGUUUUUCGGCCAGGGAUGUGCUCGCGGCCUAUCAGCUUGAUGGUGAGGUAAUGGCUCACCAUGGCUU
Molecule: ribosomal RNA, 246 nt
Filed under: uncultured Actinomycetes bacterium
Lineage: Bacteria; Bacillati; Actinomycetota; Actinomycetes
Description: uncultured actinobacterium partial 16S ribosomal RNA
Rfam family: Bacterial small subunit ribosomal RNA
Source: RNAcentral